AUUUAUAUAGUUUAAAAAAAAUAUUUUAUUUUCAUUAAAAAAAUGACUCUUACUUAAAAGUCUAUAAAUA
This 70-nucleotide transfer RNA is filed under the name Nesophrosyne makaihe. Its description in RNAcentral is "tRNA-Glu". Lineage: Eukaryota; Metazoa; Arthropoda; Insecta; Hemiptera; Cicadellidae. The record is from RNAcentral.